This 2150-nucleotide long non-coding RNA is filed under the name Equus caballus (horse). RNAcentral describes it as "lncRNA (ENSECAG00000054280.1)". Lineage: Eukaryota; Metazoa; Chordata; Mammalia; Perissodactyla; Equidae. The record is from RNAcentral.
GAUUAAGCAAUUUACCAAAGAAGAAACACAAUGGACCAUAAGUAUUUAAGUCUGCAGAGCAUGGUUUUAGUGAAGAUGGAUUUGAUUAUCAUCUUCUAAAGAAAAAUUGCCAUAUCCAUAUAAAUGGUCAGUUUUAAUUAGUUUAUUAUCUUGGGUUUGGUGGAAUUCUUUAAUGGAUAUUUGAGAUAACUGAGCAGAUGAGGGUGGUGGGGUAUUCACUUAUUCAUUCAUUCAGCAGACUUUUCUACAGCACCUACCAUGUACCAAGGACCAUGUGGCUUCCCACUCCCAUUCCUUUCUUCCUUCAUGCCUACCACGUGCCGAGCACGGUGCCAGACUAUGAGGAUACAACGUUGAGAGCGGCAAACUUGCUAUCUGCCCUCAUGGGUCUUGAAGUCUAGUAGAGAGAAGCACAUCUAUACAGAUGAAUACAAGCUAUAGCUGCAUGAGAGAGAUAUGUUGAGAAAGAGUGGAGGGAAAAAGAAUAAGAUCAGAAAAGGCUCAUAGAGAAGAGGAGUCUUGCUGAGUCAUAAAAGAUGAGGAAAUGCUGAUGGUGAGAGGGAAUUCAUCGCUCUAAUAGCAACAUGGGAGAAAGAGGAGAGAGAAGCUGGACCAGGAGCGGGGAGACUAGGCAAGUGAUGAUAGGACCCUGGACUGAGGGAAUAGCAGCAGAGGAAGAGAGAUGGGAACAGAUACGAUAUGUGGUAAAGAGAGAGAAACACGGUCCUGAUGCCUGGAUGAAGGGUAAAAGAAAGAAAAGAGGCAGGAAGACUCCCAAGUCAGGAAGCCUCAGAAGUCGCCUGGGAGGGUGGAUGUUGGUACUGUCCCUGGACAUGGGGACAGGUUUUGCAGAGAUGAACAAACAGUUUGAGGCACCUGCAAGACCCUGGCUGGAUGUAUAUAGGUCUAGAUGCAGGUGAGAGUCUGGGCCAGAAAUAGAUUCUAGAGGCAUCUAUAUCUAAGAGGUCCACUUACAUGAUAGCUUGAAGACGGCCUAAUGCUUUGGACUCUUAGACUCUUAGACUCUCAUUUUAAUUAUUAUAUUGCUGGAGUCACUCUCUCAUUUCCAUUAUUUCAAAUUGUUCAUCCCAUAAAGGAACAUUGCCAGCAGUGGAUAAUCACAGCGCUGCAAUGGCUAAUGCUGCAUUAUGUCCCCUGGGGAGUUUGAAAAUGUAAAGUCCUGGAUCCCACCCCCAGAGACUGAUCAGUACGGUGAGUAGGAGAGGCAGAGACACUUAAUGUUCACCAAAUAUCCAGGCACCCCCCUCAUCAGCCCCUGGCAGUGGGUGAGAUCAUGUGACAGGUUCUGGCCGAUGGACUGUGAGUAGAUGUGCCUGGAGCCCCUGUGACUCUGCUUCCCCUGCCGCAUCGACAGCAAGAGGCCUCGUCUCCAUGGUGGAGUCACAGGAGAGAAGCAGCCUGUGUCCCUGAGUCCCUGCUGGAAAGGAGAUUCCCUGGAGGACACUCAGAGCCACAGUGGACUUUGCAUGAGUGAGAAAUAAACCUUUCAGUGUUAAAUCACUGAGCUUUUAGGGUGUGUCUGUUACUGAAGGCUAGUCUAGCCAAUCCUAACCAAUACAGCCAGCCUUCUGUGUAUCCCAGAAACCAGCUUUAUAAACAUGCACUGUUGGUGAUUCUGGUGCAGUGGCCCGCUGACCACACUUAGUGACCCAGUGUCCUUUGUUCAGAAAUGAGGAUGGGCAUGUCGCUGAAGGAAGCAUGAUCCGUCAGUGUAACUAAUGUGUUGAUCACAGUUUGUGAGCAUCUGCCGUGUGCCAGGCAUAGUGCUAAAUGCUUCACACCUCACAACAUCACCACCCUUGCAAGCUAAGCAUUCUUCAGGCUUUGAGAACAGCGAUCUAGCAUGCCUUUAAUUUUCCUAACAAGAAGUGAAGAUUUUGAAUUCGAAGGGCUGCAAAGAAAAUUUGCUGUGGAGUUACAGUUCCUUCUCUGGGGACCCCAGAAUCUAAGGAAUUUGCAAAUCAGCAAACCAAGCUGAUAGCACAAAUUAGUUGUAAUAAUAUUUCUUUACAAGUUCCUGUGCAUUGACCAUAUGUCAAAAAGAGUGAAAAACAGUCUCCACAGAGAAAGACAAAUACUGUGUGUUCUCACUUAUAUGUGGAAUCUAAAAAAGCCAAACUCAUAGAAAC